This 766-nucleotide long non-coding RNA is filed under the name Cricetulus griseus (Chinese hamster). RNAcentral describes it as "lncRNA (ENSCGRG00000025291.1)". Lineage: Eukaryota; Metazoa; Chordata; Mammalia; Rodentia; Cricetidae. The record is from RNAcentral.
GCCGCUUCCAAGCCCCGCCCUCCAUGUUUGCUCCGCCCCUUCCCGCCAUUUCGGACUCUAACCGGCUCUGUCCGUAAAAGUAGUGUCUUGGUGUCUGUCUGUCCUUCCUUCUUGCCGCUGGGGGAGAGGCUCCUGGUGACACAGCUCACCCAGAGGGCCGAAGUGAGUCUGGAGGUGUGUGGGUCCACCGGCAAAGUAUCUAAAAAACGCACACCUGGCUUUUCUCCUUCUUGUUACUAUGCUCUUAAUAGCAAAAAAUUGCCGCUUCCCUACUUCCUACAAACUCUGGUGGGAGGAUCACCUAGCCUACACACAGCCACAGGUGAAGAUUUUAUGGUAAGAACCUCAGAGAUCUGCCCACAGCUUUCUUCUGAUCAAAGUGACUCUGAAGACGUUUGGGUCCUGCAGUUGGAACUUAUUUCUAUGGAGCUAAUAUGACAGUUCAUGGCAAGCAGAUCCUUUUAUAAUUGUGCUCUAUUCAAAGAGUAUUAAGUCAGUUCAUAGACACCUAGAGGCAAUGCCAGUUAAGGCACGAUCCUUCCUUCUGUGUCAGUGUGUGAAACCUUGUCCCAGUAAGCCAGAGGUUGUGUGGAUCAGAGAAGUGCAGGGCAGGACAGGACAUCUGAUUCAUCCUUGGUACAGGCAACAAGUACAGAAGUAAAAAGCCUUUGUAGCUGAAAUAGGAGGGUCAGACAUUCAAGGUCACCUGUGUGGCUUAGCUUAGACUCUAUGAGACCCUGUCAAAAAGCAAAACACGAGGUGGAGA